This 71-nucleotide transfer RNA is filed under the name Marmota monax (woodchuck). Its description in RNAcentral is "tRNA.Ala". It matches the Rfam family "tRNA". From Rfam's summary of the family: Transfer RNA (tRNA) molecules are approximately 80 nucleotides in length. Their secondary structure includes four short double-helical elements and three loops (D, anti-codon, and T loops). Lineage: Eukaryota; Metazoa; Chordata; Mammalia; Rodentia; Sciuridae. The record is from RNAcentral.
GGGGUUGUGGCUCAGCGGUAGAGUGCUCGCCCAGCAUGCAAGAGGCCCUGGGUUCGAGCCUCAGCACCACG